RNAcentral lists this long non-coding RNA (233 nucleotides) under Homo sapiens (human). RNAcentral's name for it is "long non-coding RNA NONHSAT145834". Lineage: Eukaryota; Metazoa; Chordata; Mammalia; Primates; Hominidae. The record is from RNAcentral.
CCCGUUGCUAGCUGUGUCCUUUGCCACUUGUUGUGCUGUUCCAGGAGUUGCCAUUCUGACCUUGGGGGUGAAUCCACUCACAGGAGCCCUGGGGCUCUUCAACAUUUUCCUGUAUACCUGCUGCUACACACCACUGAAAAGGAUCAGCAUUGCCAACACAUGGGUCGGAGCUGUGGUUGGGGCCAUCCCGCCUGUCAUGGGCUGGACAGCGGCCACGGGCAGCCUCGAUGCUG